RNAcentral lists this ribosomal RNA (254 nucleotides) under uncultured bacterium. RNAcentral's name for it is "partial 16S ribosomal RNA". It matches the Rfam family "Bacterial small subunit ribosomal RNA", at positions 526 to 779 of the family's 1533-position model. The record is from RNAcentral.
CGUAGGGUGCGAGCGUUGUCCGGAAUUACUGGGCGUAAAGAGCUCGUAGGCGGUUUGUCGCGUCGUCCGUGAAAACUCGGAGCUUAACUCCGAGCUUGCGGGCGAUACGGGCAGACUUGAGUACUACAGGGGAGACUGGAAUUCCUGGUGUAGCGGUGAAAUGCGCAGAUAUCAGGAGGAACACCGGUGGCGAAGGCGGGUCUCUGGGUAGUAACUGACGCUGAGGAGCGAAAGCAUGGGUAGCGAACAGGAUU